Molecule: small nuclear RNA, 107 nt
Filed under: Chinchilla lanigera (long-tailed chinchilla)
Lineage: Eukaryota; Metazoa; Chordata; Mammalia; Rodentia; Chinchillidae
Source: RNAcentral
GUGCUCACUUCGGCAGCAUCUAUACUAAAACUGGAAUGAUACAGAGAAUAUUAGCAUGGCCCCUGUGCAAGGAUGACAUGCAAAUUCAUGAAGCAUUCCAUAUUUUU